RNAcentral lists this transfer RNA (75 nucleotides) under Opitutaceae bacterium. Its description in RNAcentral is "tRNA-Met". It matches the Rfam family "tRNA". Rfam says of the family: Transfer RNA (tRNA) molecules are approximately 80 nucleotides in length. Their secondary structure includes four short double-helical elements and three loops (D, anti-codon, and T loops). Lineage: Bacteria; Pseudomonadati; Verrucomicrobiota; Opitutia; Opitutales; Opitutaceae. The record is from RNAcentral.
AGCAGGGAGGACAAACGGUUAAGUCGCCAUCCUCAUAAGGUGGAAAAGCGGGUUCGAUUCCCGCCCCUGCUCCCA